This 429-nucleotide ribosomal RNA is filed under the name uncultured bacterium. RNAcentral describes it as "partial 16S ribosomal RNA". It matches the Rfam family "Bacterial small subunit ribosomal RNA", at positions 355 to 776 of the family's 1533-position model. The record is from RNAcentral.
UGGGGAAUAUUGGACAAUGGGGGCAACCCUGAUCCAGCAAUGCCGCGUGAGUGAAGAAGGCCUUAGGGUUGUAAAGCUCUUUUGUGGGGGAGGAAGGAUGGUACGUGAAUAGCGUAUUAUUUUGACGUUACCCCAAGAAUAAGCACCGGCUAACUCUGUGCCAGCAGCCGCGGUAAUACAGAGGGUGCGAGCGUUAAUCGGAAUGACUGGGCGUAAAGGGUGCGUAGGUGGUUAUUUAAGUUAGUUGUGAAAGCCCUGGGCUCAACCUGGGAAUUGCAACUAAAACUGAGUAGCUAGAGUAGGUGAGAGGAGUGUGGAAUUUCCGGUGUAGCGGUGAAAUGCGUAGAGAUCGGAAAGAACACCAGUGGCGAAGGCGGCACUCUGGCACCAUACUGACACUGAGGCACGAAGGCGUGGGGAGCAAACAGG